Long non-coding RNA from Lycium barbarum (goji berry), 1044 nucleotides. RefSeq lists it as uncharacterized. The record is from RefSeq and is a predicted model, not a curated record. The transcript has 3 exons. NCBI's taxonomy places the organism in Eukaryota, Viridiplantae, Streptophyta, Magnoliopsida, Solanales, Solanaceae.
ACUCCUUUGAUAAUAGCUCAACACGGUGCCAUUUGCAAAAAAAAAAAUAGAAAAGAUGUUCAUCAAAUUGCUACAAUUGAAGUAGAAAUUGGACUUACUCAUGAAAGCAAUAAGGCUAAUCAAUUGGAUUCUUCUUCUUCUCUUUGUUGUCAUCUCUGCUGCCUUUGUUUUGUUCAUGUGUGUGAGAUUGAUGGGAAGUGGAAGAAUAACCCCAAUGCAUAAUAAUGGACUGAAUCCAACUGAUCUACUUGAACUUCCCGGAUAUGACACCUGUCGAGAAUCUUAUUAUUUUUUCAUGCCAAUUCUCACAGCCGAUGCCGAUAACAUCACAUCCCACCCAACAUUGGAACAACAGAAGAUUGAUGCUCUCAUCCCCUCGCCAUCUCUCGAAAGUCCUCAGACAAAUCCAUAGAGUGUCAAAACUCCAGUGCGUAAUAAUGUGAAAUUGUUGGGAAGUGCAACUAGAAGAAUGACUGCUUUCAGAAACAAUCCAUGGACUAAAAAUGACACCGACUAUUUUGAUCUUUCAUCAUCACCAGAGACAACAACGAAUGCCAAAGCUCCUAUCGAUCUGAAUCAAACACUUGUUCACUUUGUCUCUUUAUCAUCAACAUACAUAGAAGUAGGCUAUCGCACUUGUCCAGGCGAUCGAAUGCCGGAACCAGAGUGGAAAUUCAGGAAGUGUAGAUACAAUCUUGUUGUUCCAUUCUGCUCACCAUCUGUGGAAAGUCCUUAGACUGAAGAUGAAGAUUCAUCCAAUAAGGAUGAAUAUGCAGUUGAUGAAGAUGAAUAUGCAGCUGAUGAAGAUGAAGAUUCAGCCGAUGAUGAGCUUAAGUAGGUUUAGUAGAUAAUAUAUUCUUCCUUUAGUAUUUUUCUCUAAUGAUUUUGUUUACUAUUGUAUGAGUUUUUGGUUUGAGAGAAAUUACAUUUGUCAGCUGGUAAGGAAAAUGUCCAACUUCCCAGUUAAUGGCUCUAAAUUGGCGGUCAACCUUAUAAAAUUCUUUUAGUACCGUGUGUGAAAAAAACUGGUACCAAUCUAUUCAA